This 371-nucleotide ribosomal RNA is filed under the name uncultured organism. RNAcentral's name for it is "partial 16S ribosomal RNA". It matches the Rfam family "Bacterial small subunit ribosomal RNA", at positions 527 to 896 of the family's 1533-position model. The record is from RNAcentral.
GUAGGUGGCAAGCGUUGUCCGGAAUUAUUGGGCGUAAAGCACGCGCAGGCGGUUCUUUAAGUCUGAUGUGAAAGCCCACGGCUCAACCGUGGAGGGUCAUUGGAAACUGGAGAACUUGAGUACAGAAGAGGAAAGCGGAAUUCCACGUGUAGCGGUGAAAUGCGUAGAGAUGUGGAGGAACACCAGUGGCGAAGGCGGCUUUCUGGUCUGUAACUGACGCUGAGGCGCGAAAGCGUGGGGGAGCAAACAGGAUUAGAUACCCUGGUAGUCCACGCCGUAAACGAUGAGUGCUAAGUGUUAGGGGGUUUCCGCCCCUUAGUGCUGCAGCUAACGCAUUAAGCACUCCGCCUGGGAGUACGGCCGCAAGGCUG